Molecule: ribosomal RNA, 478 nt
Filed under: uncultured bacterium
Lineage: Bacteria
Description: partial 16S ribosomal RNA
Rfam family: Bacterial small subunit ribosomal RNA
Source: RNAcentral
GACGAACGCUGGCGGCGUGCUUAACACAUGCAAGUCGAACGGUAAGGCCCUUCGGGGUACACGAGUGGCGAACGGGUGAGUAACACGUGGGUGAUCUGCCCUGCACUUCGGGAUAAGCCUGGGAAACUGGGUCUAAUACCGGAUAGGACCACUGCCUGCAUGGGUGGUGGUGGAAAGCUUUUGCGGUGUGGGAUGGGCCCGCGGCCUGUCAGCUUGUUGGUGGGGUGAUGGCGUACCAAGGCGACGACGGGUAGCCGGCCUGAGAGGGUGACCGGACACACUGGGACUGGGAUACGGCCCAGACUCCUACGGUAGGCAGCAGUGGGGAAUAUUGCACAAUGGGCGCAAGCCUGCUGCAGCGCCGCCGCGUGAGGGAUGACGGCCUUCGGGUUGUAAACCUCUUUCAGCACCGACGAAGCGCAAGUGACGGUAGGUGCAGAAGAAGGACCGGCCAACUACGUGCCAGCCGCCGCCGUAA